RNAcentral lists this ribosomal RNA (253 nucleotides) under uncultured bacterium. RNAcentral's name for it is "partial 16S ribosomal RNA". It matches the Rfam family "Bacterial small subunit ribosomal RNA", at positions 524 to 776 of the family's 1533-position model. The record is from RNAcentral.
UACAGAGGGUGCGAGCGUUAAUCGGAUUUACUGGGCGUAAAGGGUGCGUAGGCGGUAGAGUGUGUGUGAUGUGAAAGCCCCGGGCUUAACCUGGGAAGUGCAUCGCAAACUACUCAACUAGAGUACAAGAGAGGGUAGCGGAAUUUCCAGUGUAGCGGUGAAAUGCGUAGAUAUUGGAAGGAACGUCAAUGGCGAAGGCAGCUACCUGGCUUGAUACUGACGCUGAGGCACGAAAGCGUGGGGAGCGAACAGG